AUAUCAUCUGAAAAGCUCAGGCGGAAAGGCAUCAGGCCCCACUGUAGGUUCAGGCGCCUCCUUACAGAUGCUGUGGUUGUGAAAGCAAAGAUUGGACAAUCUGGCCGGCAACGAGACAAGAGAGAUGCCAGGUGACCAUUCUUUGUAUAGACAAAAAGAGCAUCCACCUCCAAAUUGUUAGCCAUCUUGGCAGCAGAAUUGCAAAUUUCUUCAGAAACAGAGUCAGAAAGUGCAGAUCCUACAGCAGGGAGUUGCGUAGCUUCAUGGCGUUUUGCUUCUCUCCACCACUUCUCAAUUCUUACA
This 303-nucleotide unclassified non-coding RNA is filed under the name Hevea brasiliensis (rubber tree). Lineage: Eukaryota; Viridiplantae; Streptophyta; Magnoliopsida; Malpighiales; Euphorbiaceae. The record is from RNAcentral.